ACGAACGCUGGCGGCGUGCUUAACACAUGCACGUCGAACGGAAAGGCCCUGCUUGCAGGGUACUCGAGUGGCGAACGGGUGAGUAACACGUGGGUGAUCUGCCCUGCACUUCGGGAUAAGCCUGGGAAACUGGGUCUAAUACCGGAUAGGAGCCAUUUUUAGUGUGAUGGUUGGAAAGUUUUUUCGGUGUAGGAUGAGCUCGCGGCCUAUCAGCUUGUUGGUGGGGUAAUGGCCUACCAAGGCGGCGACGGGUAGCCGGCCUGAGAGGGUGGACGGCCACAUUGGGACUGAGAUACGGCCCAGACUCCGACGGGAGGCAGCAGUGGGGAAUAUUGCACAAUGGGCGCAAGCCUGAUGCAGCGACGCCGCGUGGGGGAUGACGGCCUUCGGGUUGUAAACUCCUUUCGCUAGGGACGAAGCUUUUUGUGACGGUACCUAGAUAAGAAGCACCGGCUAACUACGUG
RNAcentral lists this ribosomal RNA (464 nucleotides) under uncultured bacterium. RNAcentral describes it as "partial 16S ribosomal RNA". It matches the Rfam family "Bacterial small subunit ribosomal RNA", at positions 29 to 507 of the family's 1533-position model. The record is from RNAcentral.